CUGGCUCCAGCAGCUGGGUCCCGGCGGGCGGGCACUGUGCAGCUCCGCUGUGCUGCUCCGUUCGGGCCGGGCCUAUCCAACUGGGCCUGGCCUAUGAGCUCCGCUCUCAGCGUGAAGCGCUCUAGGAGCUUCCACUACUGAAAGCUGAAGUGAAUUUAGACCACGAGUUGGGUGUGAGGUCAAUAGUGUCGCCGCUUAACCGGACCGCUGUUGCGCAUUUAUUUAUUUAGCAUUUAUUUAGUUGUCAGAGCAGAGGUGAGCUCCACACUGCCAGCUGCCCAGCACCGGGAACGGGGUUGGUGCUGCUCAGGCUCUGUCCUUGUCCUUCCAGAUUUCUUGCUGCUUUCUGCGUGGCCGCUGUUUUCACUGGCCCUGACAGCCACUCUGUGACUCUGCCUUCCAAAAGUCACAUGAAAAUGUCUCUGGCAGGGCUGGUGUCGUGCUGGGUGCGGUUUAAAUAGCGUGAACAAGGACUUUGCGACUGGCAUAGAGAGUGGUGACGUGGAGUGCUACAGGCAGGAGCUACAAACAGAGACUUGGCAAUCAACUUCCUUGACAACUGGGUGUUCUCAGAAGCUGUGAAGGUUGAAGCUAUGGAGGUUGGUAUUUCGAGAAUAGAAAUUUAAAGUCAUGGAAUUAAAGUCUGAGUAAUAUGCCAGUUUUCAUGGAAGUUCACUAAGGAAUGUCUCCCAUGGGAUGGACCCCACACUGGAGCAGGGAAGGAGCGUGAGGAAUUCCCCUGGAGGAGGAAGGAGCAGAGACAACCUGUGGUGAACUGACCACAGCCCCAUCUCCUGUCCCACCUAGCUGCUGGCGGGGAGGAGAAAGAGAAUUUGGGAUUAAAGUUAAGCCCAGAAAAAAGGGUGCAUA
Vidua chalybeata is the source of this 870-nucleotide long non-coding RNA. RefSeq lists it as uncharacterized. NCBI's taxonomy places the organism in Eukaryota, Metazoa, Chordata, Aves, Passeriformes, Viduidae. The transcript is spliced from 3 exons. The record is from RefSeq and is a predicted model, not a curated record.